This 491-nucleotide ribosomal RNA is filed under the name uncultured bacterium. RNAcentral's name for it is "partial 16S ribosomal RNA". It matches the Rfam family "Bacterial small subunit ribosomal RNA", at positions 29 to 506 of the family's 1533-position model. The record is from RNAcentral.
AGUGAACGCUGGCGGUAGGCCUAACACAUGCAAGUCGAAUGGCAGCACAGUAAGAGCUUGCUCUUACGGGUGGCGAGUGGCGGACGGGUGAGGAAUACAUCGGAAUCUACUUUUUCGUGGGGGAUAACGUAGGGAAACUUACGCUAAUACCGCAUACGACCUACGGGUGAAAGCAGGGGAUCUUCGGACCUUGCGCGAUUGAAUGAGCCGAUGUCGGAUUAGCUAGUUGGCGGGGUAAAGGCCCACCAAGGCGACGAUCCGUAGCUGGUCUGAGAGGAUGAUCAGCCACACUGGAACUGAGACACGGUCCAGACUCCUACGGGAGGCAGCAGUGGGGAAUAUUGGACAAUGGGCGCAAGCCUGAUCCAGCCAUACCGCGUGGGUGAAGAAGGCCUUCGGGUUGUAAAGCCCUUUUGUUGGGAAAGAAAAGCAGCAGGUUAAUACCCCGCUGUUCUGACGGUACCCAAAGAAUAAGCACCGGCUAACUUCGU